This 1025-nucleotide ribosomal RNA is filed under the name Bifidobacterium adolescentis. RNAcentral describes it as "bacterial SSU rRNA". It matches the Rfam family "Bacterial small subunit ribosomal RNA", at positions 53 to 1086 of the family's 1533-position model. Lineage: Bacteria; Bacillati; Actinomycetota; Actinomycetes; Bifidobacteriales; Bifidobacteriaceae. The record is from RNAcentral.
CCAUGCAGUCGACGGGAUCCCAGGAGCUUGCUCCUGGGUGAGAGUGGCGAACGGGUGAGUAAUGCGUGACCGACCUGCCCCAUACACCGGAAUAGCUCCUGGAAACGGGUGGUAAUGCCGGAUGCUCCAGUUGAAUGCAUGGCCUUCUGGGAAAGCUUUUGCGGUAUGGGAUGGGGUCGCGUCCUAUCAGCUUGAUGGCGGGGUAACGGCCCACCAUGGCUUCGACGGGUAGCCGGCCUGAGAGGGCGACCGGCCACAUUGGGACUGAGAUACGGCCCAGACUCCUACGGGAGGCAGCAGUGGGGAAUAUUGCACAAUGGGCGCAAGCCUGAUGCAGCGACGCCGCGUGCGGGAUGACGGCCUUCGGGUUGUAAACCGCUUUUGACUGGGAGCAAGCCCUUCGGGGUGAGUGUACCUUUCGAAUAAGCACCGGCUAACUACGUGCCAGCAGCCGCGGUAAUACGUAGGGUGCAAGCGUUAUCCGGAAUUAUUGGGCGUAAAGGGCUCGUAGGCGGUUCGUCGCGUCCGGUGUGAAAGUCCAUCGCUUAACGGUGGAUCCGCGCCGGGUACGGGCGGGCUUGAGUGCGGUAGGGGAGACUGGAAUUCCCGGUGUAACGGUGGAAUGUGUAGAUAUCGGGAAGAACACCAAUGGCGAAGGCAGGUCUCUGGGCCGUCACUGACGCUGAGGAGCGAAAGCGUGGGGAGCGAACAGGAUUAGAUACCCUGGUAGUCCACGCCGUAAACGGUGGAUGCUGGAUGUGGGGACCAUUCCACGGUCUCCGUGUCGGAGCCAACGCGUUAAGCAUCCCGCCUGGGGGAGUACGGCCGCAAGGCUAAAACUCAAAGAAAUUGACGGGGGCCCGCACAAGCGGCGGAGCAUGCGGAUUAAUUCGAUGCAACGCGAAGAACCUUACCUGGGCUUGACAUGUUCCCGACAGCCGUAGAGAUACGGUCUCCCUUCGGGGCGGGUUCACAGGUGGUGCAUGGUCGUCGUCAGCUCGUGUCGUGAGAUGUUGGGUUAAGUC